Molecule: ribosomal RNA, 253 nt
Filed under: uncultured bacterium
Lineage: Bacteria
Description: partial 16S ribosomal RNA
Rfam family: Bacterial small subunit ribosomal RNA
Source: RNAcentral
UACAGAGGUCUCAAGCGUUGUUCGGCUUCAUUGGGCGUAAAGGGUGCGUAGGCGGCGCGGUAAGUCGGGUGUGAAAUCUUGGAGCUUAACUCCGAAACUGCAUUCGAUACUGCCGUGCUUGAGGACUGGAGAGGAGACUGGAAUUUACGGUGUAGCGGUGAAAUGCGUAGAUAUCGUAAGGAAGACCAGUGGCGAAGGCGGGUCUCUGGACAGUUCCUGACGCUGAGGCACGAAGGUCAGGGGAGCAAACGGG